Molecule: ribosomal RNA, 491 nt
Filed under: uncultured bacterium
Lineage: Bacteria
Description: partial 16S ribosomal RNA
Rfam family: Bacterial small subunit ribosomal RNA
Source: RNAcentral
AGUGAACGCUGGCGGUAGGCCUAACGCAUGCAAGUCGAACGGCAGCACAGUAAGAGCUUGCUCUUACGGGUGGCGAGUGGCGGACGGGUGAGGAAUACAUCGGAAUCUACUUUUUCGUGGGGGAUAACGUAGGGAAACUUACGCUAAUACCGCAUACGACCUACGGGUGAAAGCAGGGGAUCUUCGGACCUUGCGCGAUUGAAUGAGCCGAUGUCGGAUUAGCUAGUUGGCGGGGUAAAGGCCCACCAAGGCGACGAUCCGUAGCUGGUCUGAGAGGAUGAUCCGCCAAACUGGAACGGAGACACGGUCCAGCCCCCUACGGGAGGCCGCAGGGGGGAAUAUUGGAAAAGGGGCGAAAGCCUGAUCCAGCCAUACCGGGUGGGUGAAGAAGGCCUUCGGGUUGUAAAGCCCUUUUGUUGGGAAAAAAAAGCAGCAGGUUAAUCCCCCGCUGUUCGGACGGUACCCAAAAAAUAAACACCGGCUAACUUCGU